This 1203-nucleotide long non-coding RNA is filed under the name Eutrema salsugineum. Its description in RNAcentral is "long non-coding RNA (ESAL_LNC000400)". Lineage: Eukaryota; Viridiplantae; Streptophyta; Magnoliopsida; Brassicales; Brassicaceae. The record is from RNAcentral.
AUUAAGGAUCUUAGAAUAGACAUCUUUUAAACACUUGACUCCCUUUUUUCUGAGACCAAGUCUCACUUCCAACCAGUCUCCGGUCAGCUUCACGACGGUUUCUAAACGAUAAAGUUCUUCCCCCAAAAUCUUACUUUCUUCUCUUUCACCUAAAAAACCAACCUCUAACGGCCUGUUGUGGAUCUCUUCUUCAUUAAAGACCCCAUUGGCCCAUAUCUUUCACUAAUUUUCUGAUCACUCUUUCUUACCUCCGAUUUACCAUUCUAUGUUUCUUCUUAAACGUUUUCUGUCUUGGACGUCGGAGAACCAUUAGAAAACAACCCUCCGAUCCACCAUGUUUAAUUAAAGGUAAAUUAGUACACUUUUUUUUGGUUAACACUUUAUUAAUUCAAUAAAUGGGAUCUCAACCAUUACAAAGAGAGGCCCGAGGCGAUGUGUUACACAAUGCAAGCUUUUCGAGAGCAUCCGCUCUAGAGUUUUCAGAUCUAGGGAUAAAGCAAAACGAAAUUGAAGAAACAUAGAUGCAAGAGCUUGAAUGUCGAAGAGAAGACCGUAGACCUCCUUGAUUUGCUCUUGCGCCGAUAUAGAUCUGCUAAAAAUCUGAGCGUCUGAUUUGAUGGUGAGGGAGGUGAAUCCCAGAUCAAGCCCCUGGAGGAGAGCUGAUCGGAUGGCAAUUGCUUCUGCCAUGAGAGGAGAGCCAAUGAAAUUGUCAGAUCCCAAAUCCUUCGAAAUCUCGAUCCCGUGCUGUUAAAGAAGAUCCAUCCAUAUCCUGCUGAAUUUGUAUCACUCAUCCAAGCUCCAUCGAUGUAGCAGGUAAUAGAAUGGUUUUGAUGUGGCGGAAGAGAUGGUGCUGGAUCUUUUUGUAGGGUAGGAGUAUUAGUCUGUUGAGCUUGUUGCCAUUCUAGUGUGUCGCUGAUUGCUUUUGACAUAGUUUCAGCUGGGGAGAAGUAUUAGUAGGGUAGAAAUAUGGGGUAAUGGCUAGGAAGCCACUUUCUGUUUAAAUUUAUUCAGCCGUGCCACUGCUUAAUCUAUAUGCCACUCAAUUGAGGAAAAUACUAUUGUAACCUUAAUGAGAGGGAUCCACGUUUUUGAGGAAAUAAAUUUUGUUAAAAAUCGGAUUUCUUUAAUCUCCAUUAUUAUGCCCAAUUGUCGGAAAACGGGAAAACCGGAAAUUUCAAAAGCGCCCCGAAAAUUUCUCGCCGG